GGUGCCUCAUCUCCUCUCGCGAGCGCGGCUUCAGUUUCCCUUUCUAUCUCUUCAAUAUCCAAUGUCGUGCUGCUACCGCCGUCGGCGCCGCCGUCAACGCCUCCGCCUCCGCCUCGUCCUCUUGGGGUUUCUGAUGCUGCCGCUCCGACGAAGGUCGCCGCGCCGCUGGUGCUUAGAUUCAUGGAGGGGAACAGCAGCCACGCCACACGGCAUGCCUCGCCGUGCCGCAUGGUGGCCGAGAGGCGGCCGCCCCAUGCUCUGCCUGCGCCGUCUCAUCGUCUUCAUCGACAGGAGGCAUCUCUGCCGGCCUUAUCCCAUCACCAUCGCCUCCCUUCCCUACGAGAGCGACGGAUCCAAUAGCUUGAGCUCGGAUCGCUUCCAGGUGCUUGCGGCCGCCGCCCAGCUUGCGCUCACUUGCUGACCUUGAACUCUAGCCGCAGCAGAUCGUCCAUGAGUCCAGCUUCUACUCGAUCCUGGCGUCCAGGGGUGUGGUUACGAUUGCUUCUUCUAGACACAUUACCAGGAAUCUGGCUUGAAUAUGCAGUCUCUCACAAUGGAAGAGAUCAUGUUAUGCAGUCUCGCAUAAUGGAAAAGAGAAGAUGAUUUUAUGUCAAUUGGACUCUACAUGGAUGGAAAUGAAAACACCAGAACUAAUAUAAUACCAAGGCUCAAACCAGAGUUGGACGACCUCUUAUCUCUAAACAAUAGAAAUGCAGAGCAGUCCAUGGAAGCUUCCCUACGCUAUUACCGCACCGCUUGAUAUACUGAACUUGAUUCCUCGGUGCAUAUAAAAUGAUACGACUGUAUUUACAUUGGAGUAGGCAAGUAAUGGUUUCUAGAAGAUAGACAAGAUCAAGGACUCCAACAGGCACACUGGCGGCUCGAAGAACUCACUGGGAAGAUGAGCGAGUGCAAGCGGUAAGUCUUGUUGAACGCUGUCGUUGUUGUUCCUACUUGAGCCUGCAAUUUCAUAUCUUCUGCAUGUGGCAUGAUGAAUUUUAUCAAUUUCUUUACUUGGAGAAUGUAUCACCGCCGAGUUCUUUUUUACGUAGAUAUAUGCCAUGGCUUCUUGCAGCUUAAUCAAAGAAUUUGAUUGUGUACUCAAAGAUGAAGAGAAAAGGAAUACUUCUGAGGCCAACAAACAACUAAAUGUCAGGAAGCAAUUUAUGGUUGGCAGUUUCCUUCAUUGACGUCUUUGUUGUGUCAUGUUCCACAAUGUACCAAAGUAGCCUUGCAAUAAGAGGAUUGAACUAUUCGAUGCUGGUAAUGACCAGUUUUUGCAGAAAUGUCAAAUCAACAACUCAUUCAUUCUGGAAUGAAACAAAUGGACCAAACAGACCAAGCUAUUGAGCAUUCGAAAACGGCGCACUGCAAACUUACACUCUAUUUUGUUGUUCAUUCUUUCAUAAGGUAUUUAGAUAGAGGAAAUUAGGUGCUCCUCUACCUCUCUCUCACUCGCAUUUUGAUUGCCUAAUAUGCCGAUUUUCUAAAGGUGAUGUGUGCAGCUCCCUCCUGGUUUUAGUUUGAGCAUGCUUCUCUCCAUGGGCCUCUCUAUUUAGGAUUUGUGUGGAUCUUGAUUCAUAGCAGCACAAACUUGGAUAUGCUUCUUUUCUCCAUGGGAUCUUUCAAAAAUGAAAAAACAAACCCAGGAGCAAGACUUGGGCAGCAGUUUAAAUAAUGGUUCCCUGCACAUCAGUUUAUUUCCUUGCAUUGGUUCUUUAUGUUAUAAGUCACACUUUCCUAUUUUGUCAAAGAAAGAGUGGACUCAUUCAUGGACUUCUACCAUAUAUAUUAACACUGGUAUGCUGAUCAACCCAGUGAUCCUCUGAUCCUAAAUCAUUUUCCGAGAAACACUAUGCUUUUCUCUAUAUCAAGGUAGUACUGUGUCAAAGUGAUGCUUCUUUGUGCUACAUUCAUCUAUUUAUUUGGAAGUUCGAACUAAUUUUGUGUUCAUUUUUACUUAUUGCAUGAUUCAUCUGUGUAAAACCAAGAAGAUGCCUCUUAAAUUUUGUGUAUUUCUGAAAUAUGUUCUUUUUAUCAUCAUCAGAUACAAAAAAAUUCCAUUUCAUGCCUAUUCCUAAUUUAUUAUUUUCUCUAGCUGCAAAAUUUUAUUAGGACUAUGAUUCUCACUUUUUGCGUAUGGAUGGAUAUGCAGAUUGAAAUUCAAGUUGCUCCAGGAUUCCUUGCUAAUGAACAGACAGGCGCAUAAAGUGACAAAUACCCAAUCUGAUUGAUAAGCUGGCUGUCCAUGUACACACAAUAUUCAAUUUUUUAGUCUAUGUGAGGAAGUGAAAGCAUCUGUGAGUGCAUGUAGAUAUAUUUUGUCAACCUUUUUUUUGGUUACCAAACUCCGGUGUGUAAGGUAUGAGAGGACCAUGUAAAAUUUCUUUUAAAAACGAUUUUCGUUAUGCGCACCUCUGCCCAGAUUGGGUAUGGUGGUACUAAAAAGUGAUGCUCUAA
Molecule: long non-coding RNA, 2460 nt
Organism: Triticum aestivum (bread wheat)
Lineage: Eukaryota; Viridiplantae; Streptophyta; Magnoliopsida; Poales; Poaceae
Exons: 7
Source: RefSeq, a predicted model, not a curated record